Molecule: transfer RNA, 72 nt
Filed under: Ixodes scapularis (black-legged tick)
Lineage: Eukaryota; Metazoa; Arthropoda; Arachnida; Ixodida; Ixodidae
Description: tRNA-Ser for anticodon GGA
Rfam family: tRNA
About the family: Transfer RNA (tRNA) molecules are approximately 80 nucleotides in length. Their secondary structure includes four short double-helical elements and three loops (D, anti-codon, and T loops).
Source: RNAcentral
GCAGGUUAGCUCCGUUGGUAGAGCGCUCCAUUGGAAAUGGAGAGGUCCCGGGUUCGAUAACCGGAUCAGGCG